Molecule: ribosomal RNA, 484 nt
Filed under: uncultured bacterium
Lineage: Bacteria
Description: partial 16S ribosomal RNA
Rfam family: Bacterial small subunit ribosomal RNA
Source: RNAcentral
AUUGAACGCUGGCGGCAUGCUUUACACAUGCAAGUCGAACGGCAGCGCGGGCUUCGGCCUGGCGGCGAGUGGCGAACGGGUGAGUAAUGCAUCGGAACGUGCCCAGUAGUGGGGGAUAGCCCGGCGAAAGCCGGAUUAAUACCGCAUACGACCUGAGGGUGAAAGCGGGGGACCGAAAGGCCUCGCGCUAUUGGAGCAGCCGAUGUCGGAUUAGCUAGUUGGUGGGGUAAAGGCUUACCAAGGCGACGAUCCGUAGCUGGUCUGAGAGGACGACCAGCCACACUGGGACUGAGACACGGCCCAGACUCCUACGGGAGGCAGCAGCGGGGAAUUUUGGACAAUGGGGGCAACCCUGAUCCAGCCAUGCCGCGUGCGGGAAGAAGGCCUUCGGGUUGUAAACCGCUUUUGUUCGGGAAGAAAUCCUCUGGGCUAAUACCCCGGGGGGAUGACGGUACCGGAAGAAUAAGCACCGGCUAACUACGUG